Small nucleolar RNA from Hibiscus syriacus, 107 nucleotides. The record is from RefSeq and is a predicted model, not a curated record. Lineage: Eukaryota; Viridiplantae; Streptophyta; Magnoliopsida; Malvales; Malvaceae.
AAUCCAUGUAUAAGACACUUCCGCAUCAAUUCCUUAAAUCUUUCCCAUGCUUCAUACAAGCUUUCAUCCUCCAUAUGCUUGAAUGAAGGUAAAUCAUUUUGAAGCUU